Long non-coding RNA from Calypte anna (Anna's hummingbird), 415 nucleotides. RefSeq lists it as uncharacterized. The record is from RefSeq and is a predicted model, not a curated record. NCBI's taxonomy places the organism in Eukaryota, Metazoa, Chordata, Aves, Apodiformes, Trochilidae. The transcript has 2 exons.
ACACAGAGAGCGCUACCAUCAAAAAGGGGAAAGAAGAUCUCAAGCUGAGACUUAUUAAUUGCUAAGAGCAGCUCUGCCACCAGCCAUUUUGAGUUUGCACGGCUUCUUCCUCCCCAAGGGGAGGAAUGAAACGUGGGCGAGCGCGGGGAGAAAAUGUGCCGGAAAAAAGGAGGAAGGAGUGGUGGAGGGAGAGGAGGAGGAGGGUUUGUUAAGCCAUCGUCUUGUCCCCUGAGCCCGAGCCGGCUGGGAAUUAGUAACAGAGAGAUAACGGAGGUUGUAUCCCUCCCUUCGCAUUGCUUUUCGUGGAGCGCUCAGACUCCCUGACAGAUUACCCUGGUACCAGCGCGGGUAAAGAGCCGUAUUCACCUAAUCCCAUUUGAGGGAAUGAAAAGGGAAAUAAAUUAAAAAAAAAAAA